UUGCAUGGCCGAUUGUCCCCUUGACUCU
This 28-nucleotide non-coding RNA is filed under the name Rattus norvegicus (Norway rat). Lineage: Eukaryota; Metazoa; Chordata; Mammalia; Rodentia; Muridae. The record is from RNAcentral.